This 25-nucleotide non-coding RNA is filed under the name Cricetulus griseus (Chinese hamster). Lineage: Eukaryota; Metazoa; Chordata; Mammalia; Rodentia; Cricetidae. The record is from RNAcentral.
GUCGGCGUGGGGUCCGCCCGAGAGC